This 1016-nucleotide long non-coding RNA is filed under the name Papio anubis (olive baboon). Its description in RNAcentral is "lncRNA (ENSPANG00000050329.1)". The record is from RNAcentral. Lineage: Eukaryota; Metazoa; Chordata; Mammalia; Primates; Cercopithecidae.
CGGGGACCCUACAGGGCUCUCGCUCUGGGUAGUCUGGCCCUGACUUCUGAGUCACGGGGAAGGCGGGCGAAAGGUCACGGGGCAGUGGGAGGAAGCCCAGGUCCCAGGUUUGUGGUCUUCAGAUGAGGGCAGCUCUGAGAACGGUGGGGGCCCGACUGUGGCCCCGGCGGGGACACCCCAGAAAUUCAGUGUGGAAUUGGGGACGAGCGGGCUCUCUUCUUGGAUUUGAGGAUGUCAGGCACCUCUUUCAUUUUCUUGCUUCAGAGAGUAUGCCUAGACCCAACGGGUGGCAAUUCCUGGUGUUAAUCACUGAAAGGAGGUAGAACGUUUUUCCCCACCAGAGGAGGCAGCGACCACGUCUCCUCUAUGGAGGCAUUCAAGAGCCGUCCAGCUGAAGCAGCAUCAUUGUCUGGGCUUGGAAGGCACAAUCCAUACAGGUCUGCAUGGUCCACCAGAGCUCCACACCCACGGGGCCAGCCGGGGCGCUCUUCUGAAGCAGGGUCUCGCUCUGUUGCCGAGGCUGGAUCACAGCUCACUGCAACCUUGAACUCUACCUCAAGCAGUCCUCCCCACUCUGCCUUCCAAAGCACUAGCAUUACAGGCCUAAGCCACCACCCCCAUCCACUGAAGUGUAAACUAUCUCCUUCACGUUUCCAGUAGCUGCAGAGCAGAUCAGGGAUUGAGAGAAAGUAUGAUUUAUGGUGGCAGAGAUAAAUGAAACAUCCAAGGGCAGCCCCGCGUUGCCCCAACUCCUGAUUCUCUUCCAUCUGUUCGUAUGUGUUGUCAUCAAAGAAAUAAUAUUUUGAAGAGAACUUUGGAAUUGAGAAGAUGUCUUGCAACGUUGUCUAAGGAAAGUUACUUACUUCAAAGUCAUAACCUCCCCAAAGUCUUCUUCUGGAAGACUGUACUUUUAGCUUUCACAUUAAAGCUUGUGAUCUAACUUGCAUAUUUUGUACUUUUGUGAAAUAGAAGUCAAGGUUCAUGUUUCCCACCCCCCCCCGAAAGGGAUGUCCCAG